CCUACGGGAGGCAGCAGUGGGGGAUAUUGCACAAUGGGGGAAACCCUGAUGCAGCGACGCCGCGUGUGGGAAGACGGUCCUCUGGAUUGUAAACCACUGUCCCCAGGGACGAAGAUGACGGUACCUGGGGAGGAAGCUCCGGCUAACUACGUGCCAGCAGCCGCGGUAAUACGUAGGGAGCGAGCGUUGCCCGGAAUUACUGGGUGGAAAGGGAGCGUAGGCGGGACUGCAAGUUGGGUGUAAAAUCUACCGGCUCAACCGGUAGCCGCACUUAAAACUGCAGUUCUUGAGUGAAGUAGAGGCAGGCGGAAUUCCUAGUGUAGCGGUGAAAUGCGUAGAUAUUAGGAGGAACACCAGUGGCGAAGGCGGCCUGCUGGGCUUUUACUGACGCUGAGGCUCGAAAGUGUGGGGAGCAAACAGGAUUAGAUACCCCAGUAGUC
This 440-nucleotide ribosomal RNA is filed under the name uncultured bacterium. RNAcentral's name for it is "partial 16S ribosomal RNA". It matches the Rfam family "Bacterial small subunit ribosomal RNA", at positions 338 to 795 of the family's 1533-position model. The record is from RNAcentral.